Molecule: long non-coding RNA, 673 nt
Filed under: Felis catus (domestic cat)
Lineage: Eukaryota; Metazoa; Chordata; Mammalia; Carnivora; Felidae
Description: lncRNA (ENSFCAG00000049073.1)
Source: RNAcentral
AAUACUUAUAAAUAUUUUAUAAUAUUAGAUAAGUGGCAUUGUACAUGUCGACUAACUGCACAUAAUAGACCUCAGUAAAUAGUAUCUUUCUUUUAAUUUCUAUUACUAUUACAGGUAUUAACAUUUUUAUCAGCUCCUUUUUCGUUUUCCUUUUAUAAAGGGAAUGUGAUAGCUUUCUGAAGUGUCAACCUGCCUGCUCUGAAAUACAAUCCGCAGAUUUCCUUUUCUGGCACAUUUCCUCUUCAAGUUGGCUUCAGGACUGAACGUGGGUUGGUGAGAAAGAAACACAGGAGGCUAAAAGCAAAGAAGCAUACGAGUGAGGCUGGAGAGAUCACAAGAGAGGUGGAACAUGAGGAAACCACAAAGCCAAGGGAAACAGUUUGGAGAGGAAAGAAAAGCACAAUUGCUACAGUGACUCUGUAGCAGAAGUUUCUAGGACCAGAUGCUGUGGAGCUCACAGGAGAGGGUAAAAGACUUUAUUAAGAGGUUUAGCUUUGAGCUGAGUCUUGAGAUGGGGUCUGCAAGCUGAAGGAAAGUCAAGAUAGAAGGAAGAGCAUAAACCAUUAAGCACCAUGACUUAUUCAUGGUAUUGGUAGCAUUUCCUUUAGAAUGUGAAUUAAAGCCCAGAAAAUAUAAAGGAAACAAUAAGAACUUGAAGCUUGAAAUUAAGGCA